RNAcentral lists this ribosomal RNA (208 nucleotides) under Absidia sp. TU-GM13. RNAcentral describes it as "5.8S ribosomal RNA". The stretch from base 2 to 154 matches the Rfam family "5.8S ribosomal RNA". Rfam says of the family: 5.8S ribosomal RNA (5.8S rRNA) is a component of the large subunit of the eukaryotic ribosome. Lineage: Eukaryota; Fungi; Mucoromycota; Mucoromycetes; Mucorales; Cunninghamellaceae. The record is from RNAcentral.
CAACUCUUGGCAAUGGAUCUCUUGGUUCUCGCAUCGAUGAAGACGUAGCAAAGUGCGAUAAUUAUUGCGACUUGCAUUCAUAGCGAAUCAUCGAGUUCUCGAACGCAUCUUGCGCCUAGUAGUCAAUCUACUAGGCACAGUUGUUUCAGUAUCUGCAACUACCAAUCAGUUCAACUUGGUUCUUUGAAUCUAAGCGAACUGGAAAUGG